Molecule: ribosomal RNA, 132 nt
Filed under: Triticum aestivum (bread wheat)
Lineage: Eukaryota; Viridiplantae; Streptophyta; Magnoliopsida; Poales; Poaceae
Description: partial small subunit ribosomal RNA
Source: RNAcentral
AUGCCGCUGCUCCUGCCGCGGGAGACGGUGGAGGACACGCGGUUGCUGGGCUACGACUUGCCGGCGGGCACCCGGGUCCUGAUCCGAGCUGGCGGACAUGAGCGAGCUGCACGGCCUCUCCGGCGGACAUGA